GGCUUACCCGAAGGUGGUGGGUUAUCUCAGUCGAUUAUUCACAGUCAGUUACAGAUUGAGCUCCCUGUUCUACUCUUUCUCCUUCUCACUAAUGCACUUGACUAAUCUUUA
RNAcentral lists this Y RNA (111 nucleotides) under Carlito syrichta (Philippine tarsier). RNAcentral's name for it is "Y RNA (ENSTSYG00000026465.1)". It matches the Rfam family "Y RNA". From Rfam's summary of the family: Y RNAs are components of the Ro ribonucleoprotein particle (Ro RNP), in association with Ro60 and La proteins. Lineage: Eukaryota; Metazoa; Chordata; Mammalia; Primates; Tarsiidae. The record is from Rfam by way of RNAcentral.